GAUGAACGCUAGCUACAGGCUUAACACAUGCAAGUCGAGGGGAAACGAUAUUGGAAGCUUGCUUCCGAUAGGCGUCGACCGGCGCACGGGUGAGUAACGCGUAUCCAACCUGCCCGUCACUUGGGAAUAACCUUGCGAAAGUAAGACUAAUGCCCAAUGACAUUUAUAGAAGGCAUCUGAAAUGAAUUAAAGAUUUAUCGGUGAUGGAUGGGGAUGCGUCUGAUUAGCUUGUUGGCGGGGUAACGGCCCACCAAGGCGACGAUCAGUAGGGGUUCUGAGAGGAAGGUCCCCCACAUUGGAACUGAGACACGGUCCAAACUCCUACGGGAGGCAGCAGUGGGGAAUAUUGGUCAAUGGGCGAGAGCCUGACCAGCCAAGUAGCGUGCAGGAAGACGGCCCUAUGGGUUGUAAACUGCUUUUAUAGGGGAAUAAAGUGAGCCACGUGUGGCUUUUUGCAUGUACCCUAUGAAUAAGGACCGGCUAAUUCCGUG
RNAcentral lists this ribosomal RNA (491 nucleotides) under uncultured bacterium. RNAcentral describes it as "bacterial SSU rRNA". It matches the Rfam family "Bacterial small subunit ribosomal RNA", at positions 28 to 507 of the family's 1533-position model. The record is from RNAcentral.